AGGCAAAAGAUAAAUAAAUAACGAAAGAGCAGCGCCCGUCGCUUCGUAUUAUAAGCGAUAAAAAAAUUGAGUUUUUGACAAUAAUUGUUAGGAAUUAAAAAUCAACUCGACUCGCGGUGAACAAAAAUAUAGUUAUCGAUCGAUAAAACGCAACGAUAUUUGUGUGAUAGAAAUGUACAAGGAAAAUUCAGUGAACAAUUACGAUUAACGAAAAGUGCGAAAUCUUUGGAUAUGUCGCGUUCACGUUUCUCUCGGUGAAGAGACACGCGCGCGCCCGCGCGGACGCACGCGCGUAGAAUUAACAAAAGAAAAAAUAAAUCGAGUACAAGAAUCUUAGAAGCAACUAUGUGGGCUUGAUGAGAGAGGGAGAGAGAGAGUCGGUGUGCCCGUGACCGGUGAAAUACGUAUCUCAUCGCGAAGAUAAGUAGUACUGGAAUCUCGUUGACAUAAGUACCCAGCACAGAGGUCGGUCUUGGAAGCGACACAAGGAAUAACGAAAAGUGCGAUGUUUCGGAGGCGACUCGGACACCUCGAGCACCUGUUGCUCCUCGCUUUAUUCGUAGCCGUUUCUUCUCAAGAGAGCCGAGGAAGCGAAGGAUGCGGAUAUCCAGGAGCACCGGCUCACAGCACCGUCCGCUUCACCGGAGGUGGGGUCGACGAUGUUCUUGACGAGGAAGAGGCGUUGCUCAAGGACACCAACUUCCCUCUUGGCACCGUUGCCACUUACUCGUGCGAACGGGGAUUCGAACUUCUCGGACCUGCCAGGCGACAGUGCUCACCGGGAGGCCUUUGGUCACCGGAGGGUGUUCCAUUUUGCGUAUUAAACGUUGCCGGUGGAAAGGCGCCGAUGCAAUCGAGCAGCGCAGAGGGUGGAAUACCUCAGCGUGCGGUGGACGGAAGCAGCGGUCAGAUUUACACGUCCCAAACUUGUACAUUGACGAGAAAGGAACUCAGACCGUGGUGGUACGUCAAUCUUUUGGAGCCUUACAUGGUUCAACUGGUUCGUCUCGAUUUUGGAAAACCAUGUUGCGGGGAGAAUUUACCAGGAACGAUAAUCGUUAGGGUUGGCAACAAUCGCCCGGAUCUCGGGACAAAUCCAAUUUGUAAUCGUUUCACCGGACCGCUCGAAGAGGGCCAGCCUCUCUUUCUUCCCUGCAAUCCCCCGAUGCCCGGUGCUUUUGUCUCGGUUCAUCUCGAAGCUUCAAGCCCAACGGCGACUCCGGUACAGCUCUCGCUGUGCGAGGCGUUCGUCUACACCGAUCAGGCUCUUCCCAUUGAAAGAUGCCCCCAAUUUCGCGAUCAACCACCCGGUUCGACCGCCACCUACAACGGCAAAUGUUAUAUUUUUUAUAAUCGGCAGCCUCUCGCUUUUCGAGAUGCUCUUGCGUUUUGUCGCGCCCGAGGCGGUACUCUCGUCGACGAGAGCAAUCCCGCGCUCCAGGGUUUCAUCUCCUGGGAACUCUGGCGUAGACACAGAAGCGACACUUCGAGUCAAUAUUGGAUGGGAGCGGUGAGAGACGAAAAAGACAAAACAGUGUGGAAAUGGACGGGUAGCGGUGAUCAAGUGUCCGUUUCAUUCUGGAGUCUGCCUCAAGGAACGGAGGAAAAUUGCGCAAGAUACGACGGAAGUCGCGGAUGGCUCUGGUCCGACACGUCGUGUUCAGCGAGGCUCAAUUAUAUAUGUCAACAUCAGCCUCGAGCUUGCGGAAGACCGGAACAACCGCCGAAUUCGACCAUGUCCAUAAUAAAUCAAUCCGAGGAAAGAAAUACCGGAGGGAAUUACCAAGUGGGCGCAUUGGUCGAGUACAGCUGUAACGCGGGAAGUUUGUUGAUCGGACCAUCGACGAGGACUUGUCUCGAUACCGGUUUUUACAACGAAUUUCCUCCAGUAUGCAAAAGUAUAGAGUGCGGAUAUCCAGCGAAUAUAAAACACGGAGAGUACACGCUCAUAAAUAACACGGUCAGCUAUUUGAGUCAAGUUCUUUAUUCGUGCCAAGAUGGAUACGAAAUGACCGGACGUGCUCGGCUUACUUGUGAUAUUGACGAACGUUGGAACGGCCCUCCACCUCGCUGCGAACCCAUCCGUUGUGACUCACCUGCGUUGGUCGCUCACAGCGAUAUUGAAAUCGACGGAAUCGAUGUCGAAGACACGACUCAAGCUAAAAACACGAAUCGCAGCCUUUUAGUUGGCAGUAUCGUCACUUAUACCUGUCAUCGUGGAUAUCGAAUCUCCGGUCAUCGGCAAAUUCUUUGCUUACCGACCGGAGUCUACGAUCAUCCGCCUCCCGUUUGUUCAGAAGAAGUACGUACAACCGCGUCAUUACCAUCGAGAGUAACGUCGCGGCCGACACUACCGCGAGGUAGGCCGUUCCUGCCGACGAGAGUGCGAACAACGUCGACGACAUCGACUUCGGUCGUAACGAGAUCAACGACGAUUCGGGAAGAAGAGGAGAACACCUCGAGCCCCCCGGAAAAAACGUCGCCGCCUCCCGGUGGAGUGGAACUUCCGGCAAUUGUGAGAGAAACCGUUGGUAAACGACCAACGAUAGGACUCGGAAAAACGGCUGCGUCACCAACGAAUUAUCACCAAGGCGAAGGUAGCAACGAUCAUCCUCAGGACAACGAGAUUUCAGGCAGCGGCGUUGACAAUGCUCAGGCUAAAAUUGGCACCGGCGUGCCCGAGCCUUCGGGACCUUUCAGGGUCGAUCGCUCCGAUGCACCGGCACAUCAGGCUAAACUCAAUUUAGGCGCUGUCAUCGGUCUCGGCGUGUUCGGUGGUUUUGUCUUCCUCGCCGCAAUCAUCACGACCGUAACGAUCCUCAUCCGAAGCGGUAGCGGAAAUGUUCGAGGAAGCAGAGGUCGAAGGGGUCUGACCGGGAUCGGUGGUCUCGGUGGUGGUAGCGGCGGUGGUCUUGGUAGAGCCGAGCCUGGGAUGCCAUCUCGUUGGUACACCCUUCUUGCGCUUCCGUUUCCCGAUCAACACCUUGGCCGCCGUGAUCUAACGGCACGUCGCGGAAGCGAUCAUCCGUAUUCGUUCAGUCUAACGGCGGCUCAUCGCGCUGGCUACUUCUCCAAUCCUUCUCUAUAACUGCUCGUCCGUCCGUCCAUCCGUCCGCCCACCGAACUUUGCUACGCCUCGUCAGACCAACCUUCUACCACACCCUUCAUACAAACACGUACCGCAACGAGACACUGACUACGUUUUGUCGUCGCCUUUGAAUUUUCAUCGUCGCGCGCCUCAACAACCCUAGUCAAGGAACCGUGGAAGACGAAGGAAGCAUUAUCGUCAUCGCGCAUCGCCGGAUUGCAACACCGUAGCGAGUUUCGACAGUGGUUCGUCGGAGAGUCGAGGAGGAUUGAAUCGUUAUUAUAG
Molecule: unclassified non-coding RNA, 3373 nt
Filed under: Venturia canescens
Lineage: Eukaryota; Metazoa; Arthropoda; Insecta; Hymenoptera; Ichneumonidae
Description: uncharacterized LOC122416901, transcript variant X3
Source: RNAcentral